RNAcentral lists this long non-coding RNA (1493 nucleotides) under Gallus gallus (chicken). RNAcentral's name for it is "lncRNA (ENSGALG00010020825.1)". Lineage: Eukaryota; Metazoa; Chordata; Aves; Galliformes; Phasianidae. The record is from RNAcentral.
GGGUGGGGAGGGGGGGUCUGGGGAGGGGGGGGGCAGAGAUGUUAUGGUUGGGGUUUGGGGAGAGAGGAGAGCAGCGCGGGGUGGGAGGCAGAGCCGGGCGCAGAGGGCAGCGUCGGCCCCGCAGCCCCCCCAGCAGCACUCUGCGUUGCUCGGGGAGUGCGUCCCCCCCCUUUUCUCGUCCCCCCCUUUUCUCGUCCCCCCCCCCCUCCCCCCGUUUCCAGGGCAAUCCAGAUGUCUGGGCGCAGCUCCGGCAUUGCUCAGCCCCGCUGCUCUGCCAGAUGUUUCCUUCCCCCCCCCGGCACACACGCGUUCCCCGAUGCCAACACCUCCCAUCCCACGCGCCGAGCGCACGAUCUGCUGCCUGCAUCCCUUUGCCCCCAUCUGCUGCUGCUGCUGCUGGGGAGGGGAGGGGAGGAUGGGGGGUCUGCCGCUCUCUUUGGAGCUGUGCUGCAUCUGUGCAGGAUGGCGGCAGGGAUGCAUUGGUGCGUGGGGUGCGACGGGGGUGCGUUGCUGCAGGGGAUGCGUUGGUGCAGGGAUGCUGGAACCACAAGGAUGCAAUGGGGGUGCAUUUGUGGGGGCAUGCUGGCACCGUGGGAUGCAUUGGUGCAGGGAUGCUGGCACCAUUGGGAUGCAACUUUGAUGCAUUGCUGCGGGGGAUGUAGGCACCACGGAGAUGCAAUGGGGAUGCAUUGGUGCAGGGAUGCAAGCACCAUAGAGAUGCAAUGGGGAUGCAUUGGUGCGGGGAUGCUGGCACCAUUGGAAUGUGUUGGUGCAGGGAUGCAGGCGCCGUGGGGAUGCAAUGGGGAUGUGUUGCUGCAGGGGAUGCAGGCACCACCGAGAUGCAAUGGGGAUGCAUCGGUGCAGGGAUGCUGGGACCACAGGGAUGCAAUGGGGAUGCAUUGCUGCAGGGGAUGCGGCACCAUGGCAGUGCCUGGCCCUGCUGCUGCUGCAGGACCCCCAGGACCCCCCUCCCCGCUCCCAGCUGGUGGCUGCUCUGCACUUUCUGCAUGCACGGAGCAGCCUCCAGCAGCAGCAGCAGCAGCAGCGCUCCCAUGCACUGCGCUCCCUCCUCCUGGAGCAGCAGGUCGGGCUGUGCACGCACCCAACCCACAACCAACCCCCGCUGUGCACUGGGGAGGGGGGUCAGUGGUGGGGUUGUGCCCGGGGGGGGGGGGGGGGGGCUGCCACCCCUGCUCCCCCCGCAGAUCUGGAGGCUCUGCUGGCCGACCUGCGCUCCUUUCUGCUCCUCCCUCGACCGGGAGAGCCUCAGCGCCGCAGCCCGAGCCAAGAAGCAGUCGGUGGGAGAGCUGCUGCAACGGCUGCAGGGCCCCGGCGGGUGAGCGCAACGGGGAGCAGGCGGUGCCGGGGGGGCACGGAGGGGGGCUGUGACUCAGAUCCCCCCCCCCUCACCCCGCAGCAGCAGCAGAGGAUGCAGAGUACAUGAUGAUGCGCUGCCUCUCGCCCUCCUCGGGGACCCCGCAGGGCCGGGAUGG